RNAcentral lists this small nuclear RNA (99 nucleotides) under Aotus nancymaae (Ma's night monkey). Lineage: Eukaryota; Metazoa; Chordata; Mammalia; Primates; Aotidae. The record is from RNAcentral.
GUGUUUGCUUCUGAAGCACAUGAAGUACAAAUGAUUCAGAGAUGAGCACGGCCCCUGUACAAGGAUAACAAGCAAAUUCAUGAAGCGUUCCAAAUAAAG